AACCUCUAAUUCAGAGAUACCUUUCACCACCACAACUUAAACAUUCCAGAACCAGGACAGAUCCUAUCAGGACUGAGAUUCUACGAGGUUCCAGAUUAUCUGCCGAUUGUGAAGAAGGUGGAGGCCUGGAUUCACAAUCACCAGCUUAUAAAUAACAUUAGCAGUGGUGUGGAUUUAUUGUUGUGGCCUCUGGAAGGACUUGGGCACAGCGUAACCUCCUGGGGUCCGAAGUUGUUAAUCAGUAAGUUGGUCAUGAAGGACAGUGCUCAUUGUGAAGGAGGGUGCUCUGGGAUGCUCUGCCUGGCCUGACACCCCUCAGCCUGUCCUCAUUGUCCUGGCUCUGAGAAGAAGCUACAAAACACAGAAGAAGAAAAAGAAAAGAGUCUUUUAAAGUCUUGUAAUGAGUUGUUAAUGAUAAAAGUAACACAUGCCAACUGGAAAAAUGUGAAUUUUUAAAAUCUCAGCAAAAAGUAUAAAGAU
This 480-nucleotide long non-coding RNA is filed under the name Macaca nemestrina (pig-tailed macaque). RNAcentral describes it as "lncRNA (ENSMNEG00000046156.1)". Lineage: Eukaryota; Metazoa; Chordata; Mammalia; Primates; Cercopithecidae. The record is from RNAcentral.